RNAcentral lists this ribosomal RNA (407 nucleotides) under Streptomyces sp. RNAcentral's name for it is "bacterial SSU rRNA". It matches the Rfam family "Bacterial small subunit ribosomal RNA", at positions 355 to 774 of the family's 1533-position model. RNAcentral also lists the same sequence under 1 other name. Lineage: Bacteria; Bacillati; Actinomycetota; Actinomycetes; Kitasatosporales; Streptomycetaceae. The record is from RNAcentral.
UGGGGAAUAUUGCACAAUGGGCGAAAGCCUGAUGCAGCGACGCCGCGUGAGGGAUGACGGCCUUCGGGUUGUAAACCUCUUUCAGCAGGGAAGAAGCGAAAGUGACGGUACCUGCAGAAGAAGCGCCGGCUAACUACGUGCCAGCAGCCGCGGUAAUACGUAGGGCGCAAGCGUUGUCCGGAAUUAUUGGGCGUAAAGAGCUCGUAGGCGGCUUGUCACGUCGGAUGUGAAAGCCCGAGGCUUAACCUCGGGUCUGCAUUCGAUACGGGCUAGCUAGAGUGUGGUAGGGGAGAUCGGAAUUCCUGGUGUAGCGGUGAAAUGCGCAGAUAUCAGGAGGAACACCGGUGGCGAAGGCGGAUCUCUGGGCCAUUACUGACGCUGAGGAGCGAAAGCGUGGGGAGCGAACA